AUGCAGUGAUGACUCGAAUUUCUUCACCUGAAACCUGAUGCUUUAUAGCUUUUUAACCCUGAGCAUU
This is a small nucleolar RNA of Anoplopoma fimbria (sablefish), 67 nucleotides long. Lineage: Eukaryota; Metazoa; Chordata; Actinopteri; Perciformes; Anoplopomatidae. The record is from RefSeq and is a predicted model, not a curated record.